RNAcentral lists this long non-coding RNA (230 nucleotides) under Gossypium barbadense (sea-island cotton). Its description in RNAcentral is "long non-coding RNA (GBAR_LNC020880)". The record is from RNAcentral. Lineage: Eukaryota; Viridiplantae; Streptophyta; Magnoliopsida; Malvales; Malvaceae.
AAAAAAUAUAAGGGUUUAAUAGAUUUGGGAGGGGGAGUUUAAGGGCUUAACCAUUUAGCCUUAAUUAUAUGUACAUUUUUAAUGGGUAAAUUACAUGAAUAAUCACUAACCUUUAAUUAAAAUUAUGUUUCAAUCUCUUAACUUUCUAAAGUUAUGUUAUCGAGUUAUUGCAUUUUAGCUAUCCCCUGUUAACUUCCAUUACUCCCAUAACAAAAUGAUGACAUGACAUG